RNAcentral lists this long non-coding RNA (1100 nucleotides) under Zea mays. Its description in RNAcentral is "long non-coding RNA (ZMAY_LNC005873)". Lineage: Eukaryota; Viridiplantae; Streptophyta; Magnoliopsida; Poales; Poaceae. The record is from RNAcentral.
CUCGCUGCUCUUGUGCCCGCGGUGCUACUGACGGUUGCUCUAGAUCCGUUCAUCCUGGUGGUUUUGUGAGGUCGAAAGCGGCGAGCGAAUUAGAAGAUGCUGGACAAGCUGUGGGACGACGUGGUGGCCGGGCCUCGCCCGGAGACGGGCCUCGAGAAGCUCCGCAAGGCCACCACCGCCCGCCCGCUCGUCAUCAACAAAGGUACUUACUGAGCUAUACUGCUGAUCGUGUCGGGGAUCGGGAUGGAGUCGAACAAGUACCAGCGGCAAGCAACUAAUAACAGUAGGAAAUUAAUGAAUGGAUCUCUCCACUCUAACUAACAAUAAUAUGUGUAAAUUAAAGACGCGGACGGCGGCAGCUACAAGCGGGCGCAGUCGAUGCCGUCGACCCCGACGACGCCGGUGACGCCGUCGUCGUCGUCGUCGUCGACGACGCCGCGCGGCGCCGGCAACGUGUGGCGCAGCGUCUUCCACCCGGGGAGCAACCUGGCCACCAAGGGCAUGGGCGCCAACCUCUUCGACCGGCCGCAGCCCAACUCCCCCACCGUCUACGACUGGUGAGCAGCACCGUCUCCGUCGUCUCCAUCUCUUGCCCAGCCUAGCUACGUGCGUGGUCUGCGUGCUCAAACAGGACAGCAGCAGCAGAUCCAGGACCAAACUAAUUGAGCAAGAACCACGCGAAUGGUUCGAUUUUAUUUUUUUUUUAAAAAAAAUCAGUUUUUCAUGUGUGUAAUAAUUUCUCAGGCUCUACAGCGACGAGACCAGGAGCAACCACCGCUAGAUCGGGCGAGAUGGAUGGACAGUGAAGAGGCCAUGUUUGCUGGUCCUUGUGGUUAUCUAAAACGCACGCAUGCUCUAUUAUAGCUAGUCAUCACUAUAUAUAUACUUGUGUUUGUGUAUUGUUGUUCUUGUUCUGCUGGUGUCUCCGCCGUUUAAUUUGACCUAUGUUAUGGAGUGAGUGAUAUAUGUGCCGUCACUCCUAGUAUAUAGUAGUGAGUGACUAGUUGGUAUGUGUAGUACUGUACUAUCUUUUCUCCAUAUGCAUGUUUUGCCAGCGCGUAAUGAAUGUAAUGUCAGUACUGCUACUACGUGCUCUGCUA